RNAcentral lists this unclassified non-coding RNA (185 nucleotides) under fungal sp. Its description in RNAcentral is "partial internal transcribed spacer region". The stretch from base 1 to 46 matches the Rfam family "Eukaryotic small subunit ribosomal RNA", at positions 1786 to 1831 of the family's 1831-position model. Lineage: Eukaryota; Fungi. The record is from RNAcentral.
AAGUCGUAACAAGGUUUCCGUAGGUGAACCUGCGGAAGGAUCAUUAACAAUUGAUGCGCGGACGCUAGUCGUCUGCACAUUUGCCCGGGAUUGCAAAAUCCCAAGGCUACAUAUGCGCGUAUUUGUAUGACUGUUUUGAUACUUUAAAAUUUAUACAACUUUUAACAAUGGAUCUCUUGGCUCUU